GAUGAACGCUGGCGGCGUGCCUAAUACAUGCAAGCCGAGCGAACGGACGAGAAGCUUGCUUCUCUGAUGUUAGCGGCGGACGGGUGAGUAACACGUGGAUAACCUACCUAUAAGACUGGGAUAACUUCGGGAAACCGGAGCUAAUACCGGAUAAUAUUUUGAACCGCAUGGUUCAAAAGUGAAAGACGGUCUUGCUGUCACUUAUAGAUGGAUCCGCGCUGCAUUAGCUAGUUGGUAAGGUAACGGCUUACCAAGGCAACGAUGCAUAGCCGACCUGAGAGGGUGAUCGGCCACACUGGAACUGAGACACGGUCCAGACUCCUACGGGAGGCAGCAGUAGGGAAUCUUCCGCAAUGGGCGAAAGCCUGACGGAGCAACGCCGCGUGAGUGAUGAAGGUCUUCGGAUCGUAAAACUCUGUUAUUAGGGAAGAACAUAUGUGUAAGUAACUGUGCACAUCUUGACGGUACCUAAUCAGAAAGCCACGGCUAACUACGUGCCAGCAGCCGCGGUAAUACGUAGGUGGCAAGCGUUAUCCGGAAUUAUUGGGCGUAAAGCGCGCGUAGGCGGUUUUUUAAGUCUGAUGUGAAAGCCCACGGCUCAACCGUGGAGGGUCAUUGGAAACUGGAAAACUUGAGUGCAGAAGAGGAAAGUGGAAUUCCAUGUGUAGCGGUGAAAUGCGCAGAGAUAUGGAGGAACACCAGUGGCGAAGGCGACUUUCUGGUCUGUAACUGACGCUGAUGUGCGAAAGCGUGGGGAUCAAACAGGAUUAGAUACCCUGGUAGUCCACGCCGUAAACGAUGAGUGCUAAGUGUUAGGGGGUUUCCGCCCCUUAGUGCUGCAGCUAACGCAUUAAGCACUCCGCCUGGGGAGUACGACCGCAAGGUUGAAACUCAAAGGAAUUGACGGGGACCCGCACAAGCGGUGGAGCAUGUGGUUUAAUUCGAAGCAACGCGAAGAACCUUACCAAAUCUUGACAUCCUUUGACAACUCUAGAGAUAGAGCUUUCCCCUUCGGGGGACAAAGUGACAGGUGGUGCAUGGUUGUCGUCAGCUCGUGUCGUGAGAUGUUGGGUUAAGUCCCGCAACGAGCGCAACCCUUAAGCUUAGUUGCCAUCAUUAAGUUGGGCACUCUAAGUUGACUGCCGGUGACAAACCGGAGGAAGGUGGGGAUGACGUCAAAUCAUCAUGCCCCUUAUGAUUUGGGCUACACACGUGCUACAAUGGACAAUACAAAGGGCAGCGAAACCGUGAGGUCAAGCAAAUCCCAUAAAGUUGUUCUCAGUUCGGAUUGUAGUCUGCAACUCGACUACAUGAAGCUGGAAUCGCUAGUAAUCGUAGAUCAGCAUGCUACGGUGAAUACGUUCCCGGGUCU
RNAcentral lists this ribosomal RNA (1372 nucleotides) under uncultured bacterium. RNAcentral's name for it is "bacterial SSU rRNA". It matches the Rfam family "Bacterial small subunit ribosomal RNA", at positions 28 to 1381 of the family's 1533-position model. The record is from RNAcentral.